RNAcentral lists this ribosomal RNA (261 nucleotides) under uncultured bacterium. RNAcentral describes it as "partial 16S ribosomal RNA". It matches the Rfam family "Bacterial small subunit ribosomal RNA", at positions 524 to 784 of the family's 1533-position model. The record is from RNAcentral.
UACGAAGGGGGCUAGCGUUGCUCGGAAUCACUGGGCGUAAAGGGCGCGUAGGCGGAUCUUUAAGUCAGGGGUGAAAGCCUGAGGCUCAACCUCAGAAUUGCCUUUGAUACUGAAGAUCUUGAGACCGGAAGAGGUUAGUGGAACUGCGAGUGUAGAGGUGAAAUUCGUAGAUAUUCGCAAGAACACCAGUGGCGAAGGCGGCUAACUGGUCCGGUUCUGACGCUGAGGUGCGAAAGCGUGGGGAGCAAACAGGAUUAGAUA